RNAcentral lists this ribosomal RNA (253 nucleotides) under uncultured bacterium. RNAcentral describes it as "partial 16S ribosomal RNA". It matches the Rfam family "Bacterial small subunit ribosomal RNA", at positions 524 to 776 of the family's 1533-position model. The record is from RNAcentral.
UACAGAGGGGGCAAGCGUUGUUCGGAAUUACUGGGCGUAAAGGGCGCGUAGGUGGCCUUCUAAGUUGAACGUGAAAUCCCUGGGCUCAACCCAGGAACUGCGUCCAAGACUGGGAGGCUUGAAUCCGGGAGAGGGAUGCGGAAUUCCAGGUGUAGCGGUGAAAUGCGUAGAUAUCGGGAGGAACACCAGUGGCGAAGGCGACUUCCUGGCCUGUUCUUGACGCUGAGGCGCGAAAGCUAGGGGAGCAAACGGG